CAGGAGUUUGAGAGACCAGCCUGGGCAACAUAGUGAUAUGUUAUCUCAAAAAAAAAAAAAAAAGAAAGAAAGAAGGAAGGAAGGAAGGAAGGAAAGAGAGAAAAAAGAAAGCCAGGUAAAUAGUAAGUGCUCAAUUAGUAUUAGCAGGAAGAGUAUUUGUGCUGCCAGGAAAAAGGAUGAUGCAUCAGAAGAGAUCUCUGCUUCAGGCUCUGAUGGUUCCAUGGGAAGUACUGAUUUCUCACCACUAGAAUCAUUGAUGAUCCUGUGAUCAUGGUAUCUCCCCUGCCAGGGCAUGAGAUUGAAGAGGGAGACCCAGGCAUCUCAGAUCAACUUCCCCUUUGACUGUCACACUGCAUUUCAAUAGAAGAAAAGGCUGACCGACUGGCGCCUCCUGUUUUACCUUCCUGUAGGUGGCAGGCUUGGUCUUGGGCAAACUCUCCGGAAGGCACUAUUUUUACUUAAAACAAGAUCAAACCAGAAACCUUUUCACAUGUGAGUCCUAAAACUGUAAACCAGAACCCUUUCAUAUGUGAUUCCUAAAACUGUAAACAGAGACCUUUUCACAUGUGAGUCCUAAAACUGUAAACCAGAACCCUUUCAUAUGUGAUUCCUGAAACUGUAAACCGAAACCUUUUCACAUGUGAGUCUUAAAACUAUGAACCAAAACGCUUUCAUAUGUGAUUCCUGAAGCUGUAAACCGAAACCCUUUCAUAUGUGAUUUCUAAAGCUAUAAACCUAAGAUUCUUCCAUGUGUAAUAUCUAAAGUAUAAGGCAGGACCUCCCUUUGUUAGAUGAGCUGAAUUUGGACAUACCAUUUCCUCAGCUCCCAGCUGUAAUAAAAAACCCUUUCCUUUCCCAAUCAGCGUUCGAGAGCUCUGUUUCUCGUGGCCGAUCCUGCUACAUUUUUGGUGCAUUGGCUGGGAAGCAAGUUUUGGCUGGCAGAGGGCAGGAAAAAGUCUCUCAGGUGGUUUGCCUAGCCCUAGCGGCCUCCUGCGGGAGGCCUCCUACUCAUUGGGGUGACGCAUCCUGAGAGCGCUCCUGGGCAGGUAUUUGUCUGGUGGAAAAGCCUCGCCAGAGCGGAGCAAGGAGGCUCUGCAGUGUGGAUCCACCCAGUGGCUGA
This 1120-nucleotide long non-coding RNA is filed under the name Aotus nancymaae (Ma's night monkey). Its description in RNAcentral is "lncRNA (ENSANAG00000038551.1)". The record is from RNAcentral. Lineage: Eukaryota; Metazoa; Chordata; Mammalia; Primates; Aotidae.